UUGAGCAUCCCUAAAUAAUAAUAAAGAGGUACAAUGGGAAGGAUUUCACGGGUAGACCUUGAAGAGACCUUCCAGAAGAUCCCACCUCACGUAGAUCUCUGGCCUGACGGUGUAAACAGGCUUCACCUGUUCACAGCUCUGAAGAGGAGCUUAUUUUACCUGCCAUUACACGCUCUGUGGUGGCAGAUGGAGCUGAUUGCUACCACCUGGAAUGGCAUCUGCAUUUCUCGCCCGGCACUACUAUAUUUAGCAAAUGACUGGGCUUUCCUCUCCCCCUCCGCCAUUUCAAGGGAAGCCAAGCUGCUGGAGGAAGCUUUCCUAAUGGAGAGCAGAACGUUUCUGGGCUAUCUCAAAUUGAAACAGUCUGCUGGAACCCAUCCGUACAGCAAUUUGAAAUGAGCUGCUCUGGAUGCUGCGGAGAACAGCCAGUGGAUCUGAAGUUCCAAUUAAAACUGUGUUUGGACCAUUGCUUUAUUGCCUGCCCAUACUUAAUCUCUCUUGAAAGCACCAUCAUUUAUCUGAAGCAAAAGAAGAACAAGGUAAGGACAGAAAGUAAUGGAAUGCAGCAUAACACAUCUGUCAAACAAGCUUGAAGUAGCUCGGAAAGAAUAAUAAUAAUAAUAAAGAAUUCAAGAUCAGUGACA
RNAcentral lists this long non-coding RNA (644 nucleotides) under Pogona vitticeps (central bearded dragon). RNAcentral describes it as "lncRNA (ENSPVIG00000009393.1)". Lineage: Eukaryota; Metazoa; Chordata; Lepidosauria; Squamata; Agamidae. The record is from RNAcentral.